CUGGAUUUUUGGCACCGAAAAUAGUCGGGUGGGAGCGCGGCGAAACCGCGAGGGCGGGCGCGGCGCAGUGCGUGUCGCUCCGCCGUGUGAACAGCCCGCUCGUGAGGCCGUAACUGGCGUAUUUUUUCGACCGGACCGUAAAGACACAAAGCCGCCACCAUGGACGCGAUCAAGAAGAAGAUGCAGGCGAUGAAGCUGGAGAAGGACAAUGCCAUGGACAAGGCUGACACCUGCGAACAGCAGGCCAGGGACGCCAACCUCCGCGCCGAGAAGGUCAACGAGGAAGUCCGUGAGCUCCAGAAGAAGCUUGCCCAGGUGGAGGAGGACCUGAUCCUCAACAAGAACAAGUUGGAACAGGCCAACAAGGACUUGGAAGAGAAGGAGAAGACCUUAACCGCCACUGAGGCUGAGGUCGCUGCCCUUAACAGGAAGGUGCAGCAGAUUGAGGAGGACCUCGAGAAGUCCGAGGAGAGGUCAGGCACCGCCCAGCAGAAGCUGCUCGAAGCCCAGCAGUCUGCUGACGAGAACAACCGUAUGUGCAAAGUGUUGGAGAACAGGGCACAGCAAGACGAGGAGCGCAUGGACCAGCUCACCAACCAGCUGAAGGAAGCCCGUCUGCUCGCUGAGGAUGCUGACGGCAAGUCCGACGAGGUAUCACGCAAGCUGGCCUUCGUUGAAGACGAGCUCGAAGUCGCUGAGGACCGUGUCAAGUCUGGAGACGCCAAGAUCUCAGAACUUGAGGAGGAAUUAAAGGUCGUAGGUAACUCCCUGAAAUCUCUGGAAGUAUCAGAAGAGAAGGCCAACCAGCGUGUCGAAGAGUUCAAGAAGCAGCUGAAGACCCUCACUAGCAAACUCAAGGAAGCCGAGGCCCGCGCCGAGUUCGCAGAGAAGACUGUCAAGAAACUGCAGAAGGAGGUUGACAGGCUCGAAGACGCAUUAUUCAACGAGAAGGAGAAAUACAAGGCGAUAUGCGAUGACUUGGACGGCACAUUCGCCGAGCUGACAGGAUACUAACCAGCCCUUACAGCACAUAGUUUAAGUCAAAACCGUCCGAAUCACAUCACCUUAAAGUCCAUUUUGAUACGCCACCUUGCAUUGUCUCGACCCUGUACAAGUUCAUUGUUUAGCCCGAUUGUAGAUCGCUGUCAGAACGAGUUCCAUACAUUUCAGAGUCUCUUAAACUGUUUCUUCUAACGCCUAACCUGCUCGCCGCCUGCAGGGUUGUCGACACAUAAUAUAUUAUUAUAGUGUAUGUCCACGACCCUGUAGGAGCGUCGUGUUAAGCCCUGCUUUGUCUGUUUGUGACUAACAUGUCUUUCGCUUUGCUGCUACCGUCGCGGACCAUUGCUUCCAAGAUGAGCUCGGAAUCAACAAGGACAGAUACAAGAGCUUGGCCGAC
Molecule: RNA transcript, 1399 nt
Organism: Spodoptera litura
Lineage: Eukaryota; Metazoa; Arthropoda; Insecta; Lepidoptera; Noctuidae
Gene: Tm2
Gene name: tropomyosin 2
Source: RefSeq, a predicted model, not a curated record